RNAcentral lists this ribosomal RNA (397 nucleotides) under uncultured bacterium. RNAcentral describes it as "bacterial SSU rRNA". It matches the Rfam family "Bacterial small subunit ribosomal RNA", at positions 28 to 419 of the family's 1533-position model. The record is from RNAcentral.
GACGAACGCUGGCGGCGCGCUUAACACAUGCAAGUCGAGCGAGAACCAGGACUUCGGUCCUGGGGACAGCGGCGAACGGGUGAGUAACACGUGGAUAACCUGCCCUCGGCACCGGUAUAGCCCGAGGAAACUCGGAUUAAUACCGGAUAGCCCUUCCGACUCUCGAGUCGGUCCGAAAAGGUAGCUUCGGCCUCUGGCCGAGGAUGGGUCCGCGGCGGAUUAGCUUGUUGGUGGGGUAACGCCUACCAAGGCAUCGAUCCGUAGCUGGUCUGAGAGGACGAUCAGCCACACUGGGACUGAGACACGGCCCAGACUCCUACGGGAGGCAGCAAUGGGGAAUCUUGCGCAAUGGGCGAAAGCCUGACGCAGCGACGCCGCGUGAGGGAAGAAGGCCUGG